UGGGGCAUAUGGAGAUAGAAUCCUAGUCCAACUAGGAUUCUUUUAAGUGCUGAUUUAAAUCUAAUUUAAUCCUAACCAAAUUAGAAUUAGGUUGCAUCCAAAAUAAGUUAAUUCUUAGUCUAAUUUAAAACUCAAUUAAAUCUGAAUUAAAUCUUAAUCUAAUUAAAAAAUUAAUUGAAUCAAGUUCUAGUCAAAUUAGGAAUUGAUCUCUUUAUGUAAUUGGGUUA
This 227-nucleotide long non-coding RNA is filed under the name Elaeis guineensis (African oil palm). Its description in RNAcentral is "long non-coding RNA (EGUI_LNC012471)". Lineage: Eukaryota; Viridiplantae; Streptophyta; Magnoliopsida; Arecales; Arecaceae. The record is from RNAcentral.